Aphis gossypii (cotton aphid) is the source of this 1489-nucleotide long non-coding RNA. RefSeq lists it as uncharacterized. The record is from RefSeq and is a predicted model, not a curated record. Lineage: Eukaryota; Metazoa; Arthropoda; Insecta; Hemiptera; Aphididae. The transcript has 3 exons.
UAGUAAAUGCCUCCAAAUUACUAUACUGAUAUUUUAUAGGUACCUCAGAAACUCGAAAUUUUUAUAUUAACAUUUUCUAGACUUCUAGUCGAGAUACAGUUUUAAAAAAUAUUUAUAAUAUAAUAUUUGAGUUACAAUCAAUAUUUAUAUGGCACAAACCUUAAGCCACGCAACUUAAUAGAAAUAAUUAAUAAUAUUGGUACAUAACAUCCAUAAUGAUUAAUAUUAGCCGUUACAUUUAUGCACAAAGCAGUCCGACCUACGUCUACGAUAUUAUAAAAAUACGAUAAGUACAUCACUUUUUUCUAGCGGAGAUGUUGGUAACGUCGCUCUUGGAGAUACGUUGUGAAUUGUCUACCUCCGAUUACCGCCAAAACUCUAGGUCGGUUUAUGAGGUUUUUUUUUUAUCAUUCAAUCAUCUUAGCAAUCGUGACAUCGAACUACCGAAGAAGUGAUGCACAAGUAGGCAGGUACGCUGUACGAAGCCAGAAAGAUAAUACUAAAUGUUUUCGAUUAAGACUUCUACGCAUUUAGCGAUUCGUCGACAACAUAUCGGUUUUAAACGAUAAAUAUUUGCGUGACGAUCGGCUGUCGCGUUUGGGAGAUCGUUUAUGAUUUGAAAAACACCAAGUCUAAAAGUCAACGGUUUAAUCACAGACGUGAAUAAAGAAAUCUUAUGUACCGUGGUAAGUACCAACAAGGUAUCUACAUUUCAAUGAUAGCCACUUCUCACAACUAAAGGCGGGUUUCCACUACGUACGUGUACGCGCAUAAAAAUACUUUUCUGUGAUUGGUUGGAACGUGUAAACUUUCUGGUAUACCAAAAGCUUACCGUGUAUACCGACCGACCACAGAAAAUAAUUUUCUAUGCACGCACACGUCUGUAGUGGAAACCCACCUUAAUAGUAGUACAAAAAGAGUGGUAUAAAAUCUUUAUAAAUUUUUUGUAAAUCUUUAAUAAAUACACCAUAUUAUAAUAUAUAUAAUAAUUUAUAUAGUCGCACGAAUGUAUGCAUUAUGAUCAUGGACAUCUGAAGUCAUAUAAGUGUUAUGUUUUUGUCUUUAUCUUUGUUUUUUAUAUUUAUGUGAUUUUUCUAUGUAGGACGUAGGUGCAUAUAAUUAUAUCUAUAAAGAGCAAUCGUCUAUUAAUAUUUUUUAUUGGUCGUUGUAAUUUUUUUCCCCUAUAAUUCGUAUAAUGCGUUUUACGUGUUCUAAGUAUAUAGGUGGGGAAUGAAACGAUAUAGUUUAAAAAACGUUCUGUACAGAAACAACCAGUCAACGAUGGAACCGAAAUGACGUUCACCAAUAACUCAAUUAUUAAUCGGUAUAUAAAUAUUAAGGUAACAAUAAUAGAUGGGUGCAAACGACGACGUUGAAAGUGCCACUGAAUAAUUUUAAAAGGAGAGAGACAGCGAUGCAGCAUCGUCUGUUCAAUCGGUGAGUCCAAGCUGUGUAAUGUGUAUAUUAUUUAUUUCGCCUUUGCCCGAGU